AAAAUUUAAAAAAAAAAUUAAUUAAUUUGAAAAUGAUUGGUGAGAAUUAGAGUAGGUGAGGCCAAAUUGGUAAAUGAAAAUGGAAAGUAAAUGGUUGGUGGGUUUGUUUUUUUAAAAAAUAUUUUAUUGUUGGUGGGGUUGGCACGAAAUAGAAAGCAGAGAAAAGAAAUUGGUGAGAACGACUUGUAUUAAAAAAUAAGGACUUUGAUUCACUGCCCUCCCAAUUCGGUGCCCUCCCCGUGCCCUCCUAUUUGUGUGGUCACGGUUAAGCCACGUUAAUAUUUUAUAUUACUAUUUUUUUUUUGUCUUAUUAUUUUUAUAAAAAACAAUAUAAAACAUUAGCAUAGAUUAACCGUGACCACACAAAACAGAAGAGCACCGAAAUGGGAGCGCAGAGAAUCCAAGUCCAAAAAAUAAUGCACAAUAAUACAAAGGUGUCAAACUCAAAUCUACGCCUUUUCCCUUGCCUUUCAAGUUUUGUCGGUAGUCAAUUUCUUUGUUGAGGUAAGUUUUACGCUUAUGUAUAUGGGAUGGGUAUACUGACAACUGCUGACAUAUGAUCUCCGAUCAACAGUCAAGGUGACAAUUUCUGCAAGGUUUCUUAGUUUAUAAUUAGGUCAAUUGGAUUUCUUACAAUUAUUUACGCCCAAAUAACAGUAGUUGACAAUUGUUUAUGGACAAGGAUUGUUUGCCCUCUUUGUUCCCGUGCUCUCUCAUGCCCUCUCAUGCUCUUCUGUUUGUAUGAUCACAGUUAAGCCACAUCAACAUUUUAUAUUACUAUUUAUUUUUGUCUUAU
This 796-nucleotide long non-coding RNA is filed under the name Malus domestica (apple). Its description in RNAcentral is "long non-coding RNA (MDOM_LNC010154)". The record is from RNAcentral. Lineage: Eukaryota; Viridiplantae; Streptophyta; Magnoliopsida; Rosales; Rosaceae.